UCGGGAAUUUUGGGCAAUGGGGGAAACCCUGACCCAGCAACGCCGCGUGAAGGAUGAAGUAUUUCGGUAUGUAAACUUCGAAAGAAUAGGAAGAAUAAAUGACGGUACUAUUUAUAAGGUCCGGCUAACUACGUGCCAGCAGCCGCGGUAAUACGUAUGGACCAAGCGUUGUUCGGAUUUACUGGGCGUAAAGGGCGCGUAGGCGGCAUGACAAGUCACUUGUGAAAUCUCUGGGCUUAACCCAGAACGGCCAAGUGAUACUGUCGCGCUAGAGUGCAGAAGGGGCAAUCGGAAUUCUUGGUGUAGCGGUGAAAUGCGUAGAUAUCAAGAGGAACACCUGAGGUGAAGACGGGUUGCUGGGCUGACACUGACGCUGAGGCGCGAAAGCCAGGGGAGCAAACGGGAUUAGAUACCCACGUAGUCCCUGAGCGGGCUGGCAAG
Molecule: ribosomal RNA, 441 nt
Filed under: uncultured bacterium
Lineage: Bacteria
Description: bacterial SSU rRNA
Rfam family: Bacterial small subunit ribosomal RNA
Source: RNAcentral